GCAAGUCGAGCGAAGCGGCUGAAUUGAUUCUUCAGAUGAUUUUCAGUUGACUGAGCGGCGGACGGGUGAGUAACGCGUGGGUGACCUGCCCCAUACCGGGGGAUAACAGCUGGAAACGGCUGCUAAUACCGCAUAAGCGCACAGAGCUGCAUGGCUCGGUGUGAAAAACUCCGGUGGUAUGGGAUGGGCCCGCGUCUGAUUAGGCAGUUGGCGGGGUAACGGCCCACCAAACCGACGAUCAGUAGCCGGCCUGAGAGGGCGACC
Molecule: ribosomal RNA, 264 nt
Filed under: uncultured bacterium
Lineage: Bacteria
Description: partial 16S ribosomal RNA
Rfam family: Bacterial small subunit ribosomal RNA
Source: RNAcentral